AUGCGGGCGUCGCACAUCCUGAUCAGGCACGAGGAGUCCCGGCGCGAGGCAUCCUGGAAGGACCCCGAGGGCCAGGUCAUUUCCGCCACUACGCGCGACGAUGCCGCCGCGCGCCUCGGCGAGCUCCACGGCCAGAUCCUCGCCGACUGCGCCUCCUUCGCCGACCUUGCAGCGCAGCACUCUGCCCGCCCACCCGCCGCUGGACUCCACCAAAGGGCCGAUCAUGCGAGGCAGAUUCAGGAUUGCUUGGUGAUGGAUAAGAUCAACCCGUGUGGCCAGCAGUAUUGGUACCAAUGCUGA
RNAcentral lists this ribosomal RNA (300 nucleotides) under Triticum aestivum (bread wheat). RNAcentral's name for it is "partial small subunit ribosomal RNA". The record is from RNAcentral. Lineage: Eukaryota; Viridiplantae; Streptophyta; Magnoliopsida; Poales; Poaceae.